Molecule: non-coding RNA, 764 nt
Filed under: Euthalia franciae
Lineage: Eukaryota; Metazoa; Arthropoda; Insecta; Lepidoptera; Nymphalidae
Source: RNAcentral
UAUGUUUUAGAUAAUUUAUUAUAAAUUUAUUUUACAUGUAAAUUAUAGUAUUAAAUUUUAAUUAUUUUAAUAAUAAUUAAUUAGUGUUAUAUAGUAAUUAAAAUUAAAAAUUUAAGAAAUUAAGAUUUAGUAAUAUUUAAAUUAAUAACUAAUUUUGUGCCAGCAGUUGCGGUUAAACAAAAGUUAAAUUAAAUUAUUUCAGUAUUUAAUUAAUAAUAUUAAAUUAAAAAAAAUAUUAAAUUAUUGAGUGAAAUUUUAAUUUAAUUAAAUUUUAUAAAAUAUUUAUGAUUUAAUAAAUUUAAAAAUAAACUAGGAUUAGAUACCCUAUUAUUAUAAAUUUAAUUAUUUAUACUAAAAUAGUAAAUAAUAUAUUAUUGAAACUUAAAUAAUAUGGCGGUAUUUUAGUUCAUUUAGAGGAAUCUGUCUAAUAAUUGAUAAUCCACGAAUAAAUUUACUUAAUUUAUAAUUUUGUAUAUCAUUGUUAAAAAAAUAUUUUAUAAUAAUAAUAAUAUUUUAAAAUUUAAAUUAAAAAUUAAUUCAGAUCAUGAUGCAGAUUAUAAUUAAGAUUAAGAUGGAUUACAAUAAAAUUAUUUAAAUGAAAAUAAUCUUGUAAAAUUUAAUUAAAAGUGGAUUUAAAUGUAAUUUUAAUUAAUUUAUUAAAAUGAUUUAAAAUUGAAAUAUGUACAUAUUGCCCGUCACUUUCAUUUAAAAAUUGAAAUAAGUCGUAACAAAGUAGAGGUACUGGAAAGUGUUUCUAGAAUGAA